This 260-nucleotide ribosomal RNA is filed under the name uncultured bacterium. RNAcentral's name for it is "partial 16S ribosomal RNA". It matches the Rfam family "Bacterial small subunit ribosomal RNA", at positions 793 to 1055 of the family's 1533-position model. The record is from RNAcentral.
GUCCACGCAGUAAACGAUGGGUGCUAGUUGUCGGGCUCUUAGAGUUCGGUGGCGAAGCUAACGCGUUAAGCACCCCGCCUGGGGAAUACGGUCGCAAGACUAAAACUCAAAGAAAUUGACGGGGACCCGCACAAGCAGUGGAGCAUGUGGUUUAAUUCGAUGCUACGCGAAAAACCUUACCAACCCUUGAAUCUGGAUCACCGGCUAAGAGAUUAGCCUUCGGUUCGCCGGAUCCAAGACAGGUGUUGCAUGGCUGUCGU